This 193-nucleotide unclassified non-coding RNA is filed under the name uncultured Basidiomycota. Its description in RNAcentral is "sequence contains ITS1". The record is from RNAcentral. Lineage: Eukaryota; Fungi; Basidiomycota.
ACGAGUAACUGAACAGGUUGUAGCUGGCCUUUCGGGGCAUGUGCACACCUGGCUCAUCCACUCUUCAACCUCUGUGCACUUGUUGUAGGUCGGUAGAAGAGCGAGCAUUUAAUGCUUGCUUGGAAGCCUUCCUAUGUUUUACUACAAACGCUUCAGUUUAAGAAUGUUUACCUGCGUAUAACGCAUUUAUAUA